CUGUUGGAAUACAGCGUCAUAGUGGUGAGAACCCCGUAACUGAUGCAGAUGCCCGGUGCUUUGUGAUAUACUUUCGAAGAGUCGAGUUGUUUGGGAAUGCAGCUCAAAUUGGGUGGUAAAUUCCAUCUAAAGCUAAAUAUUGGAGCAAGACCGAUAGCGAACAAGUACCGUGAGGGAAAGAUGAAAAGCACUUUGGAAAGAGAGUUAACAGUACGUGAAAUUGUUGGAAGGGAAACGCUUGAAGUCAGACUUGCUAUUCGGAGUUCAGCCGCAAGGUGUAUUCUUCGAUUUGCAGGCCAGCAUCAGUUUUCGGGGGUGGAAAAUCGUGGUUUGAAGGUAGCAACUUCGGUUGUGUUAUAGCUUUCCACUGGAUUCAUCUUUGGGGACUGAGGAACGCAGUACGCUUUUUGCAAGGCCCUCGGGCUUUUCGUACUUAGGAUGCUGGUGGAAUGGCUUUAAACGACCCGUCUUG
Molecule: ribosomal RNA, 472 nt
Filed under: Leucosporidium muscorum
Lineage: Eukaryota; Fungi; Basidiomycota; Microbotryomycetes; Leucosporidiales; Leucosporidiaceae
Description: partial large subunit ribosomal RNA
Rfam family: Eukaryotic large subunit ribosomal RNA
Source: RNAcentral